RNAcentral lists this ribosomal RNA (1484 nucleotides) under metagenome. RNAcentral's name for it is "bacterial SSU rRNA". It matches the Rfam family "Bacterial small subunit ribosomal RNA". The record is from RNAcentral.
AGAGUUUGAUCAUGGCUCAGGACGAACGCUGGCGGCGUGCUUAACACAUGCAAGUCGAACGAGACGAUUGAAAGCUUGCUUUUGAAAGUCGAGUGGCAAACGGGUGAGUAACGCGUAGACAACCUGCCGUAAAGAUGGGGACAACAGUCCGAAAGGACUGCUAAUACCGAAUGUUGUAAAUCUUCCGCAUGGAAGACUUACUAAAGGUGGCCUCUACUUGUAAGCUAUCGCUUUACGAUGGGUCUGCGUCUGAUUGGCUGGUUGGUGGGGUAACGGCCUACCAAGGCGACGAUCAGUAGCCGGUCUGAGAGGAUGAACGGCCACAUUGGAACUGAGACACGGCCCAGACUCCUACGGGAGGCAGCAGUGGGGAAUAUUGCACAAUGGGGGAAACCCUGAUGCAGCGACGCCGCGUGGAGGAAGAAGGUCUUCGGAUUGUAAACUCCUGUUGUUGGGGAAGAUAAUGACGGUACCCAACAAGGAAGUGACGGCUAACUACGUGCCAGCAGCCGCGGUAAAACGUAGGUCACAAGCGUUGUCCGGAAUUACUGGGUGUAAAGGGAGCGCAGGCGGGAAGACAAGUUGGAAGUGAAAUCUAUGGGCUCAACCCAUAAACUGCUUUCAAAACUGUUUUUCUUGAGUAGUGCAGAGGUAGGCGGAAUUCCCGGUGUAGCGGUGGAAUGCGUAGAUAUCGGGAGGAACACCAGUGGCGAAGGCGGCCUACUGGGCACCAACUGACGCUGAGGCUCGAAAGUGUGGGUAGCAAACAGGAUUAGAUACCCUGGUAGUCCACACCGUAAACGAUGAUUACUAGGUGUUGGAGGAUUGACCCCUUCAGUGCCGCAGUUAACACAAUAAGUAAUCCACCUGGGGAGUACGACCGCAAGGUUGAAACUCAAAGGAAUUGACGGGGGCCCGCACAAGCAGUGGAGUAUGUGGUUUAAUUCGACGCAACGCGAAGAACCUUACCAAGUCUUGACAUCCCUUGACGAUGCUGGAAACAGUGUUUCUCUUCGGAGCAAGGAGACAGGUGGUGCAUGGUUGUCGUCAGCUCGUGUCGUGAGAUGUUGGGUUAAGUCCCGCAACGAGCGCAACCCUUAUGGUCAGUUACUACGCAAGAGGACUCUGGCCAGACUGCCGUUGACAAAACGGAGGAAGGUGGGGAUGACGUCAAAUCAUCAUGCCCUUUAUGACUUGGGCUACACACGUACUACAAUGGCGUUAAACAAAGAGAAGCAAGACCGCGAGGUGGAGCAAAACUCAGAAACAACGUCCCAGUUCGGACUGCAGGCUGCAACUCGCCUGCACGAAGUUGGAAUUGCUAGUAAUCGUGGAUCAGCAUGCCACGGUGAAUACGUUCCCGGGCCUUGUACACACCGCCCGUCACACCAUGAGAGCCGGGGGGACCCGAAGUCGGUAGUCUAACCGCAAGGAGGACGCCGCCGAAGGUAAAACUGGUGAUUGGGGUGAAGUCGUAACAAGGU